RNAcentral lists this ribosomal RNA (253 nucleotides) under uncultured bacterium. RNAcentral describes it as "partial 16S ribosomal RNA". It matches the Rfam family "Bacterial small subunit ribosomal RNA", at positions 524 to 776 of the family's 1533-position model. The record is from RNAcentral.
UACAGAGGGUGCGAGCGUUAGUCGGAAUUACUGGGCGUAAAGCGUGCGUAGGCGGUUUCUUAAGUCCGUUGUGAAAGCCCUGGGCUCAACCUGGGAAUGGCAGUGGAUACUGAGAAGCUUGAGUGCGGUAGAGGAGGGUGGAAUUCCCGGUGUAGCGGUGAAAUGCGUAGAGAUCGGGAGGAACAUCAGUGGCGAAGGCGACCCUCUGGACCAGCACUGACGCUGAGGCACGAAAGCGUGGGGAGCAAACAGG